Molecule: ribosomal RNA, 253 nt
Filed under: uncultured bacterium
Lineage: Bacteria
Description: partial 16S ribosomal RNA
Rfam family: Bacterial small subunit ribosomal RNA
Source: RNAcentral
UACGUAGGGAGCAAGCGUUGUUCGGAAUUACUGGGCGUAAAGGGCUCGUAGGCGGCCAACUAAGUCAUACGUGAAAUCCCUCGGCUUAACCGGGGAACUGCGUCUGAUACUGGAUGGCUUGAGUUUGGGAGAGGGAUGCGGAAUUCCAGGUGUAGCGGUGAAAUGCGUAGAUAUCUGGAGGAACACCGGUGGCGAAGGCGGCAUCCUGGACCAACACUGACGCUGAGGAGCGAAAGCCAGGGGAGCAAACGGG